UAUGUGAUCGUCUCUCGCAUAUCAAUAAGCGGAGGAAAAGAAACUAACAAGGAUUCCCCUAGUAACGGCGAGUGAAGCGGGAAGAGCUCAAAUUUGAAAUCUUAAAGGGUUUCCCUUUACGAAUUGUAGUUUAAGGAAGUGUUUUCUGUUGAGGUUUCGGUAAAAGUUCUUUGGAAUAGGACAUCAUAGAGGGUGAGAAUCCCGUAUUUGACCUUUACUUUCAACUUUGUGAUACACUUUCAAAGAGUCGGAUUGUUUGGGAAUGCAGUCCAAAAUGGGUGGUAAAUUUCAUCUAAAGCUAAAUAUUGGCGAGAGACCGAUAGCGAACAAGUACCGUGAGGGAAAGAUGAAAAGAACUUUGAAAAGAGAGUUAAACAGUACGUGAAAUUGUCAAAAGGGAAGCGUUUGACACCAGUGUUGUUUUUCUGAAAAUCAAUUAAAGAACUGUUUAUGCUAAGUUGUUUAGACUUUAUCAGCUAACUGUUUAGUUUUGAGCUUUUCUUUAAUGCACUUUUCAGUUAACAAGUCAACAUCAAUUUCUUUUGCUGUAAAAAAGCUUGAGGAAGGUGGCUUGAGAUUCGUCUUAAGUGUUUAUAGCCUCUUGCCUAUGCAGUCGGAGAGAUUGAGGUCUGCAGCGUAGAUCCUUCGGGGCUAAAUGCAUUUGUGCUAAGUUAUAGCAUUUUAUAGACAACUUGUUGACUAUGAUUUGUCUUGUAGCUUACUCGCUUAUGUUAUUUUACCUACGCUUAGGAUGUUGAUCUACAGAGCGAGAGU
This 774-nucleotide ribosomal RNA is filed under the name uncultured Neocallimastigales. RNAcentral's name for it is "partial large subunit ribosomal RNA". It matches the Rfam family "Eukaryotic large subunit ribosomal RNA", at positions 24 to 631 of the family's 3401-position model. Lineage: Eukaryota; Fungi; Neocallimastigomycota; Neocallimastigomycetes; Neocallimastigales. The record is from RNAcentral.